UUAAAGUGGCAGAAGAAUGCAAGGAAUUUAAGCUUCCUUUAUGAGGUUUCCUUUAAC
Molecule: transfer RNA, 57 nt
Filed under: Ornithodoros porcinus
Lineage: Eukaryota; Metazoa; Arthropoda; Arachnida; Ixodida; Argasidae
Description: tRNA-Leu
Source: RNAcentral